This 392-nucleotide ribosomal RNA is filed under the name Protaspa sp. RNAcentral describes it as "partial small subunit ribosomal RNA". It matches the Rfam family "Eukaryotic small subunit ribosomal RNA", at positions 587 to 975 of the family's 1831-position model. The record is from RNAcentral. Lineage: Eukaryota; Cercozoa; Thecofilosea; Cryomonadida; Protaspidae.
AGCUCCAGUAGCGUAUAUUAAAGUUGUUGCAGUUAAAAAGCUCGUAGUUGGAUUUCUGGUAUGACACGUCUAGUCCGCUGCGGUAACGUAUGUUGAGUACAAGUUCGUGUUUGCCAUCCUUCUAGGAAUCGCCUCUGCUCUUCACUGAGUUGGUUGCGAGUUCUAGAUCUUUUACUUUGAAAAAAUUAGAGUGUUUAAAGCAGGCAUUGCCGUGAAUACAUUAGCAUGGAAUAAUAAUUUAGGACUUCGGUUCCUAGUUUGUUGGUUCUUGGAGCGAAGUAAUGAUUGAUAGGGAUAGUUGGGGGUGCUAGUAUUGAUUGGCCAGAGGUGAAAUUCUUGGAUUCAAUCAAGACUAACUUAUGCGAAAGCAUUCACCAAGGAUGUCUUCUUUA